GCACUCCUGCGGUGUUCGACGACCUCCCGGUUCCCCUUGAGCCUAAUUACGUAAACCGGGGUGGGAAGCGUCGCAGGUGAGUAUGCCCGCCCUGGCUGCGGGAAACCUAAUGCGGCGUGGAACGCCCCACUUGAGCAUUCGUCUCAAGGAUAGUGGACGGUCGACGGCACAGGCGGGAGUGGC
Molecule: non-coding RNA, 183 nt
Filed under: Salinisphaera sp.
Lineage: Bacteria; Pseudomonadati; Pseudomonadota; Gammaproteobacteria; Salinisphaerales; Salinisphaeraceae
Description: 6S RNA
Rfam family: 6S / SsrS RNA
About the family: E. coli 6S RNA was the first non coding RNA to be sequenced, but its function was unknown until recently. It consists of 184 nucleotides that fold into an extended hairpin structure with a large single-stranded internal bulge.
Source: RNAcentral